Molecule: long non-coding RNA, 409 nt
Filed under: Ornithorhynchus anatinus (platypus)
Lineage: Eukaryota; Metazoa; Chordata; Mammalia; Monotremata; Ornithorhynchidae
Description: lncRNA (ENSOANG00000038041.1)
Source: RNAcentral
UGAUAGAUAGUACCGAUUGACAGAUAGGUAGACUGACAGAGCAGGAGACCCCCAGAUGAAGCUGUCUGAGAACAAUUCGACGGGGAGUGCUUCGGGUCGGGGUGUCCAACCUGCGGAACCGGGCGUCUCUCUUAAAAGGGGGACCCACCGCCCAGGCCCCUUCUGUCCGGAUGAACACGCCCGCUCCUUUCUACGCUCGCCUCUUGGCCCCAGUUGGAUCUCUGUUUAUUCCAUCAGGAUCUCCGUUUCGCCCAUUUGGUUGCCGAUGGAGCUAAGAGAGAAGCCCCCUCCGUUUCCCAGCAAGCGGCCAGGCUGUCGCGAAGGUCGGGGACACAGGCUGUCUUCACCUGCCCAGCUUGCGUUGGACAACCAGUGCGCGAUGGUGCGGGGAGAGACAAUGCAAAACUGA